Long non-coding RNA from Vulpes vulpes (red fox), 3383 nucleotides. Lineage: Eukaryota; Metazoa; Chordata; Mammalia; Carnivora; Canidae. The record is from Ensembl.
CACACUGCUCCUUAUAGUUAUUCAGUGACCCAGGCUAAGCAAGACACUGCCCCCGCACCAUCUUUAGUGUGUGGUACCCUCUGUUCCAGGUGGAGAAAGGUCUGGUGGGUGGGUCACAUCGCUUUGCCAUGGUCCAGUGGCUGGGCCUGAGGAACAUGGCCAGGUCUACUUGCAGAGAAGGCUGAGAAGCAUGGAAUAGCCACCUGCCAAAAAGAAGGAUGGGGGAUGGAUUUUGGAGCACCCUCUCUCAAAGAGCACCCCCACACUAUGCAGACUCUGUGGGAAGAUGACCAAUCCACCUCCAACUCUGUGAAGACCAAAUGCAGUAAAAGAUAUUUAGGCAUUUCAAAAAACCAGAAAUGGAAAGAUGGUUUUGCUCUAAGGAGAUCCGCACGCUGAUAGCAAUCACCGAGCCUCUCCGAGCCUGUGUCCUCCGGGAAAUGGGCACAACAGCAGGGCCAGCUCGCAGGCUCCAGGGGGCAAGACCAAGACACCAUGUGCUUCAGCUCCUGUCCUGUUUCCUGUCCCAUAAGUUAACGUGCUUAAGCAGCCUGCCUUGCAGAAGUUUCCCUCCUCAUCCCUGGCUCUAGGUGCAUCGUCAGCUUCGGGGCUGAAUGCAUGACCUACGUCGACUUGGAAGCAGCAACUCCAGGAGCUUCUGGAAGUCUGCUUGAAUGCUAACUCCCCAUGGGACAGCAGGCCGCACAAGUGGCCCCCGUGCACCGUCAGAGCCCACACACUGCAGAGAGUCACCGGCCUCCUCUCACCUGAGGAAUCUUAUCACUUCCUCCCCCUGCUGGAGCUCCGUCUGAGCAUCUGAAUGAAUCCUGUGCUUGUGCGCUGAGCGAGAGAAUCAGAAGCUCCCAAAGCACCCAGAGGAGGAGAGAGAGCACAGUGCGUGGUCGCCGAGGUGCCAGGUAUUUGCCAUGCCCAUGAGUGAACCCCUUGGACCCCCAUAGGCUCCCCAGCUACACAGUAGCCCCCCAUCCAGGCCCCACCAGGCCCUUCCUCACACCUCUGGGUGGAGCCCAACUCGCUAGAAAGACCUCUCAGGGCUUUAAAAUAGGUUCAGGAAUCUUUGACGUGGAAAGCCGGCUCCCUGGGGGUGGAAACUAACCGCUUUCCCUUUCAGGGUGGGCGAGGCUUCUAGGCUCAUGUCUAAGAGGUAAAAGCUGGUGACCGAGUGACAUCUGAGAUGAGGUCAUGCUCACUGACUCCGGGGACAGCAGAUGCCAGGCCAGGUGGACACGCAGGCUGCUCUACGGAGGAGCCCAUGACAGGGGAGCUGAGCCAGCGGAGCCCCUGUCCCCUUCGGGGCUGCUGCCCAGCCUGGGCCACCCUCAUGAGGGCCACUGAGCCAGCCUCCAGCCCUCCUAGCCGUGGAAACCAGCAGUAAGCACGUGUCAUGCUAAAUGCUGGGGGAGUCUGUUACAUGGCAGAGCACAGGACGUCUGCGUUCCUAGGACAACCCCACCCCACACUGGCUGGUGCUCAGUGCCCCUGGACAUUCUUUCCUUCAUGUGCCCACUCACCACCUGGGUCUGCCCUGUGAGAGCCCCAUUGCCCCUAACACAGAGGUAAAAGCAACAUGUUCAGGGUUUUACCCGGCACACCCACCAUGCCCAGGACGGAGCAAGCACUCAGCGGCUCUCAUUCCAGGGCAGGUGUCCAUGGCACUGGUGACCACCCUGACCCUGUGGAUGACAGAGACCCCAAGGGCCACCACCCUAAUGGCUGAGAUGGAGCAGUGCUCCUGCAUCCCCGAAGGCGCUGUGCUCCAUUGCAGCUGAGAGCCAGGCUGUCUCUCCAGGGAUCCUCUGCGUCUCCUAAGACCCUGAGCGCAACCCACAGCCAGCCUCUCUAGGGCCAGACGCAAGUCCCUGUGGCUACUCUGAGAAGGACGUCACACUGCCUCCCGUCCCCUGUGAAGUUCUCCCAGGUGGAUGGAGACACAUCUGAUCUCCAGUGUGGGCGCCUGCUGGCCGUGCCCCGUGUCCAUGUGAGGAACAGGUGUGCACUGGGAGCACAAGAAGGGCUCUUGGAGGAAGGGCCAAAGCUGAGCAGGAUAUCCGGUAGAUAUCAUUUUUCAGUUAAUUUUUAAAAAUCCAAGCCAUCCUUUCCCUAACCUGCAGCAUCUGCCACUACGUUGGAAGAGGACACACACUACAUUAAGAUUCUCUUCCUUCACGGAGCGCGUGGAGGCUGUUUGGGGCUCUCAUGCCUUUCCCAGAGCUUAGCCAGGGUGCUGCCGGGUCACCGCUCUCUCUGUGCCGGCUCCGCUAACAAGUGUGGAUCUGGGGCAGAGUCUGAAUGCUCCUGCCUGGAAAGUAGGCCAGCAUUUGUCACUGCCGUGGCCCGCCCCGGAAAGCGGGUCUGAGCUUGGCAGUGUGACUGUGGACGUUGUCACGCUGGAUCCUCGUGGCUGCUGAAUCCUCGUCACUCUGAACUUCGUGGGCAUGCACCGGGUUUAUGUUCAUCUCAAAGAUGAGGAAAACAAGGUACGGGGGGCGGGGGGGGAGCACAUGGCUUUCCAGGUCACUGCGCUCCUGAGCUGCAGAUAUGGGCUUGAACUCAGAGUGUCUGAUUCCCAUGUGGCACGUUUUGUGCCAAUUGGGCUGAUCCUUCUGUGGAAUUGUCACUUAUUACAUAAACCAGAUUUUAGGCAGAUGCCUACAGGAGGUUAGUUCUGUGGUGCUAUGACUCUGAUUGAAAACAGAACCGCUUAAUGAUAAGGGACAAGAUUAGCCCAGGUGGCACGUAAGGACGCAGCGUUGGAAGGGGUGGCCCCAAGCCAGGCCCGCGGCUCCACUGAGGACUCACCAAACUGCCCACGCCAGGGACCCAUCCCCAUCUGUGAAGUUCUCAUGACCAUAGUGCUGGGUGGGGGUCAUAUGGGGGAUUUUGAGUUAAUUUGCACACGUUGCUUACAGUGCUUGGGACAGUAUAAGCAUUGGUUCAGAUGAACCUUUAUUAUUUUACAGUGACAUUGGUUUAGACACAGAGACAACUGGUUGUGUUUUUCAGUUUUGCACUCAUCCCCGAUGUGUGUAGAUACCAGUCAUUGCUUGAGGUUUAAAAUCUGGUGGCGGCAUGGCCCGAUCACAGUAAUGUGCAGGACAUUGUCUUCUCCUUGUAGGAAAGUCAAAAGUCAUAUUAUUUAUGUUCAAAUUUGGAUUUAAAACAUGAUUUAGGGGUGCCUGGAUGGCUCAGUUGGUGAAGUGUCUGCCUUUGGCUCAGGUUAUGAUCUCAGGGUCCUGGAAUUGAGUUCACCUUUGGGCUCCCUGCUCAGUGGGGAGUCUGCUUCUCCCUCUCCCUCUGCUCCCCUCUCCGCCUGUGUUCACAUGUUCUCUCUCUCUUAAAUAAAUAAAAUCGUAAAACAAACA